UACAGAGGGGGCAAGCGUUGUUCGGAAUUACUGGGCGUAAAGGGCGCGUAGGCGGCCCGCUAAGUCGAACGUGAAAUCCCCGAGCUCAACUCGGGAACUGCGUCCGAUACUGGCGGGCUUGAAUCCGGGAGAGGGAUGCGGAAUUCCAGGUGUAGCGGUGAAAUGCGUAGAUAUCUGGAGGAACACCGGUGGCGAAGGCGGAUCUCUGGGCCAUUACUGACGCUGAGGAGCGAAAGCGUGGGGAGCGAACAGG
This 253-nucleotide ribosomal RNA is filed under the name uncultured bacterium. Its description in RNAcentral is "partial 16S ribosomal RNA". It matches the Rfam family "Bacterial small subunit ribosomal RNA", at positions 524 to 776 of the family's 1533-position model. The record is from RNAcentral.